This 253-nucleotide ribosomal RNA is filed under the name uncultured bacterium. Its description in RNAcentral is "partial 16S ribosomal RNA". It matches the Rfam family "Bacterial small subunit ribosomal RNA", at positions 524 to 776 of the family's 1533-position model. The record is from RNAcentral.
UACGUAGGGUGCAAGCGUUGUCCGGAUUUAUUGGGCGUAAAGAGCUCGUAGGCGGCUUGUUGCGUCGACUGUGAAAACCCGCGGCUUAACCGCGGGGUUGCAGUUGAUACGGGCAGGCUAGAGUUCGGUAGGGGAGACUGGAAUUCCUGGUGUAGCGGUGAAAUGCGCAGAUAUCAGGAGGAACACCAAUAGCGAAGGCAGCUCGCUGGGACGUUACUGACACUGAGGCGCGAAAGCGUGGGGAGCGAACAGG